GAAGAUGCCACUGUUGCUCUUCUGCCAGCAGAUCCAGGCGCUUAGCAGAGGCUGCUGCGAAACCCAGUCUUCUUGCCUGGGGAACCGGGAGAGCUCCGGGGGCUGGAGGAACUACCUUGGACUCUUUACUCUCCACCCCUUCUUUCCCACUCCGCCUUCCUCUUCUGCCUUCUUCUGCUUUUGUUGCCCUAACAAAACCAGGAUGUGGGCAAAGAGCUCAGGUUCAGCAGCUGGACCAGGCACUGUGCUGGGAACAGAGGGGCAAAGAUGACAAAGUCUUUUUCUCAAGGAGGCACACAAGUAAGAAGCAUCUCCUAGUUUUAUUGACAUCGUUUUGGUUUAAGGUUGUUUAUGUGUGUGUGUGUGUGAGAGAGAGAAAGAGAUGGGGCAACUUGAUGUCAGAUUUUCUUUCUUUCGCCUUAAAUCUUUAGGGGUAGAAUUUUUUUUUCUUUUUUAUGGUUGCACCUCUGCAGCUCUGAUUUGACCCCUAGCCUGGAAACUUCUGUAUGCCACAGGUGCGGCCCUAAAAAGAAAAAAGAAAAAGAAGAAAGAAAACAGGGAACAGGUUCUGCAUUUUACUUUCUGGGCCCGUUAACACUCUUAUCUCACUCGGAACAUUGAGGGGGCAGGUUUCGCCUUGCUUUUUAAUAGAAAGAUAGCAACCAAGCCAGCCUAAAGCCUAAAAUAGAAGGUGUUUUUUUUUUUUUUUUAAAUUUUUUUGCAAAUACCACGCUCUCCUUCUUUUAUGGAUUUUUGUGGUCUAGCAUCUGGGAAAAGAUCCCCUAGACCUUGGCCCCCUGACUAAAUGAUCCAAUAAAUAUUUGCGAAAUGAGUGAAUGGUGUCGUACAUCUGUGUCACAGGCUCACAAAGCAUCUGCUCAAAGGACGCACUGGGAAAGGCAGAAGGAUCUUUUGCCAUCAGUUGCCUAAUGACAGGAAUGCUAAAAGCAAUAAGGCACUUCUUGCCUAUAUCGCACCCACUCCAAUGCCUUGUUUCAGUACCUCUUUUAUUUUAUUUUUUUUCUUUUUCGGCCACCCGGUGGCAUAUGGAGCUCCUGGGCCGGGGAUCAGAUCCGAGCCGCAGUUGUGGCAAUGCUGGAUCCUUAACCCACUGUGCCAGGUCAGGGAUUGAACCUGCAACUCAGCGCUCCCAAGAGGCCACCGAUCCCACUGUGCCGCCGCAAGAACUCCGCUACCUCUUCUUUUACGGAAGGGGGUUGAACCUUCGGCACGUCAGUGUUCACUCUGAAGAACGAACCUGCUGAGAUCUUCCAUUGAUGCCCUGAUCAUGCUGGGGGGAGGGCUCCUUUUCUCCCAGCCUUAGGCUGGAAUGGGGGCUGGGCACCCCAGGGGAGAGAUGAUAAAUAUGGAAAAGACAAAGUGAGGAAAAUUAAAAUAAGAAGUUUGAUUCCGGCUAAGCUAGGAGAAGUGGGAAAGGAGAAAGCAAGAAGCUAAAAAGAAACGGAGAGGAAUCUGACAUCAAAGCGACAGCCCAGCAAAGAAAAGGAAAUGCUUGACGUGGCCAGGCAGAGGCUGAAUUACCCACCGCUGCCCCACGGGAUUCAGACCUUUGGUGUUUGUCCUUGGCCGAGAUGCCGACGGGAUAAGAGCGCCUAAUGCAGGCGUCUUGACAUCUUUAUGUCAAUGUUUAUCAGCCUGUGUCUCCUGGAGGUGACAUUUGUGGUAGAAGGGACGGCUGUUUGGUUUAAGUGUUUGCAGGUACCCGAGACCCGGGCUUCAACAAAUAGCCAGGCAGGUGUCCCACCUGAGGCAGGGAGCCUGGACAUCUGGGCUACACACGUUCUCAGCGCCUUGAGUAGAAAAGGUGACAUGGACAAUCACACACCAAACGUUGUGUCCUUAAUUAGUGUGUAUCUGAGGACAUGCUGCGUUCACCAGCUCUGCGUUGGGUGCUGCAGAGACUGUAAAGGCUAUUUUAUGAAAGUCUGUGUGUAACACGCUCUCACUCCUUUUCAAGUCUUCUCCGCUGUCUUUCCCCCUCCCCACCACCCCAGCCUAGCUGAUGAGCUUUUCGUAUACGUGGAGGAAACGGAAGUAAUCAGACAGAAAAGUCCUCCUGUGAAAUCCCCUGAAUCUCACCCCUUCCACCUCCCAGAGAUCUCACUUCCUUCUCUCUCCUCCGUAAUUUUCUCCUUCUCGGUUGGAUCUUUCCCACAAUCUCAGAAACAUUCCCUAGUGUCUCCCAUCAUAGAAAAAUGCCUCUUUGGAGUUCCCGCUGUGGCGCCGUGGAUUAGGGACCUGACUGCUGCGACUCAGGUCCCUGUGGAGGCACAGGUUCAUCCCUGGCCCAGUGCUGUGGGGUAAAGGGUCCAGUGUUGCCACAUCUGUGGUGUAGGUUGCAGCUGUGGCUCAGACUCCAUCCCCGGCCUGGGAACUUCCAUCUACCAUGGGUGAGGCCAUUAAAAAAAAAAAAAAAAAAAAAA
Molecule: long non-coding RNA, 2444 nt
Filed under: Sus scrofa (pig)
Lineage: Eukaryota; Metazoa; Chordata; Mammalia; Artiodactyla; Suidae
Description: lncRNA (ENSSSCG00045020333.1)
Source: RNAcentral